RNAcentral lists this ribosomal RNA (508 nucleotides) under uncultured bacterium. Its description in RNAcentral is "partial 16S ribosomal RNA". It matches the Rfam family "Bacterial small subunit ribosomal RNA", at positions 30 to 523 of the family's 1533-position model. The record is from RNAcentral.
AUUGAACGCUGGCGGCAGGCCUAACACAUGCAAGUCGAGCGGCAGCGGGAAAGUAGCUUGCUACUUUUGCCGGCGAGCGGCGGACGGGUGAGUAAUGCCUGGGAAAUUGCCCAGUCGAGGGGGAUAACAGUUGGAAACGACUGCUAAUACCGCAUACGCCCUACGGGGGAAAGCAGGGGACCUUCGGGCCUUGCGCGAUUGGAUAUGCCCAGGUGGGAUUAGCUAGUUGGUGAGGUAAUGGCUCACCAAGGCGACGAUCCCUAGCUGGUCUGAGUGGAUGAUCAGCCACACUGGAACUGAGACACGGUCCAGACUCCUACGGGAGGCAGCAGUGGGGAAUAUUGCACAAUGGGGGAAACCCUGAUGCAGCCAUGCCGCGUGUGUGAAGAAGGCCUUCGGGUUGUAAAGCACUUUCAGCGAGGAGGAAAGGUUGAUGCCUAAUACGUAUCAACUGUGACGUUACUCGCAGAAGAAGCCCCGGCUAACUUCGUGCCAGCCGCCGCCGUAA